This is a long non-coding RNA of Oreochromis aureus, 342 nucleotides long. The record is from Ensembl. NCBI's taxonomy places the organism in Eukaryota, Metazoa, Chordata, Actinopteri, Cichliformes, Cichlidae.
CCUUUGGUUUCACCUGCACAAGUGCUGAGGUUUGGGGAAACCUGCAGUCAGCUGAGACUGAAGAAGUCACUUGGAUGAGUGACGAAACGUUUCUCCCACAAAACGCUACGUCCAGAUGAACAGAUUCAACUUUUGGAGAUUUACUUUCCUGGAUGAUUGAGAAUGCAUCAAGACCCAUUUCUGUUUGGAGUUUGCAUGUUACCCCAUGUUCCCCUGUGUGCUGGUUGCUGUGCAGUUGCUGGACUGAUCCUGAGUUCCUGCCUUUUGGUCUCCACACACCUACAGGUGAUCACAAAUCUGUCCCUGUUAACCUUGUUGGAGUCACUACCUAAAGGAGUAGUU